RNAcentral lists this ribosomal RNA (1344 nucleotides) under uncultured bacterium. RNAcentral describes it as "bacterial SSU rRNA". It matches the Rfam family "Bacterial small subunit ribosomal RNA", at positions 23 to 1368 of the family's 1533-position model. The record is from RNAcentral.
CUCAGGAUGAACGCUGGCGGCGUGCUUAACACAUGCUAGUCGAACGAAGCACAGGAAAUGCUUGCAUUUCUUGUGACUGAGUGGCGGACGGGUGAGUAACGCGUGGGUAACCUGCCGUAUACAGGGGGAUAACAGUUGGAAACGACUGCUAAUACCGCAUAAGCGCACAGUACCGCAUGGUACAGUGUGAAAAACUCCGGUGGUAUAAGAUGGAUUCGCGUCUGAUUAGCUAGUUGGUGGGGUAACGGCUCACCAAGGCGACGAUCAGUAGCCGGCCUGAGAGGGUGAACGGCCACAUUGGGACUGAGACACAGCCCAAACUCCUACGGGAGGCAGCAGUGGGGAAUAUUGCACAAUGGGGGAAACCCUGAUGCAGCGACGCCGCGUGAGUGAAGAAGUAUUUCGGUACGUAAAGCUCUAUCAGCAAGGAAGAAAUACCGACCUUUGGUCGCUAGACGGUACUUGACUAAGAAGCCCCGGCUAACUACGUGCCAGCAGCCGCGGUAAUACGUAGGGGGCAAGCGUUAUCCGGAUUUACUGGGUGUAAAGGGAGCGUAGACGGCAAUGCAAGUCUGAAGUGAAAUCCCGGGGCUCAACCCCGGAACUGCUUUGGAAACUGUAUGGCUAGAGUGCAGGAGAGGUAAGUGGAAUUCCUAGUGUAGCGGUGAAAUGCGUAGAUAUUAGGAGGAACACCAGUGGCGAAGGCGGCCUGCUGGGCUCUAACUGACGCUGAGGCUCGAAAGCGUGGGUAGCAAACAGGAUUAGAUACCCUGGUAGUCCACGCUGUAAACGAUGAUUACUAGGUGUGGGUGGACUGACCCCAUCCGUGCCGGAGUUAACACAAUAAGUAAUCCACCUGGGGAGUACGACCGCAAGGUUGAAACUCAAAGGAAUUGACGGGGGCCCGCACAAGCAGUGGAGUAUGUGGUUUAAUUCGAAGCAACGCGAAGAACCUUACCAGGUCUUGACAUCGAGUGACGUACUUAGAGAUAGGUACUUCCUUCGGGACACGAAGACAGGUGGUGCAUGGUUGUCGUCAGCUCGUGUCGUGAGAUGUUGGGUUAAGUCCCGCAACGAGCGCAACCCUUAUCAUUAGUUGCUACGCAAGAGCACUCUAAUGAGACUGCCGUGGAUAACACGGAGGAAGGUGGGGAUGACGUCAAAUCAUCAUGCCCUUUAUGACCUGGGCUACACACGUACUACAAUGGCACUCAAACAGAGGGAUGCAACGUCGCGAGGCGAAGCGGAACCCAAAAAAGUGUCUCAGUUCAGAUUGUAGGCUGCAACUCGCCUACAUGAAGUCGGAAUUAAUAGUAAUCGCAGAUCAGCAUGCUGCGGUGAAUA